This is a long non-coding RNA of Schistocerca nitens (vagrant locust), 637 nucleotides long. RefSeq lists it as uncharacterized. The transcript has 3 exons. Lineage: Eukaryota; Metazoa; Arthropoda; Insecta; Orthoptera; Acrididae. The record is from RefSeq and is a predicted model, not a curated record.
UAUUCUCAAAAUAUUUGGAAUGUUGGUGAUGUGUAUGAGCUGAAAACACUGAAAAGAGAGUAUUUUGUGAGAAUGGAGUUUAAAAAGUAUGAGGUGGAGAUUCCCAUUGCCCAGGCAAUUCUUGGUCCUUGGAUGUCCCUUGUGUGAGUUGGUAGCAUGUUGGAGAUAAGAAUGUAAAUGAUGGAGUAGGUAUUGGUGCAGUUGACACGCUGUGUAUGCAAGAGUAGGAGGAGACCUGAGUUGAGCAGAAAUGUGGAUGAUUUAAUAUAUUUGUUUGCGAGUUAAUCGUAGGUGCCCUGUGAAAAGAGGGAAGUGUGACUGAAGGUAGUAUAUCCAAGAGUAGAGUGAGUGAUGAUGUGUUGAUAAAGGCAAUGCAGGUACAGUGUGUAAAAGAGAGAUUGGAACUGAGAAUGAGUCCCAAGAGUUCUUAGAGGUAAAUGAACAUAGGUGUGGUUGGAGUGUAUAGAUGUAAGAAACAAUGACUAGCAAGUUGGUAAUAUUUGAGACCUGUUAUAGAAUAUGAUCGUGAGAGUUGCAUUAUUGAGAUUUUGGAGUUUUGUAUGAGCCAGGUGAUGAGAGUAAAACCCGUGACGGUUUUUAUUAGGAAGAGAGUAGAAGGUGUUCAAAGACCCUAAUG